CUAAAGUGUUUAUGGCACUUUUUAAAAUCCAUAUCCACCUUGUGUGCAAUGUCAGUUGUUCCUUGCGAAUAACUAAACAUCAACCUAACUUAACCUAUAGUCUGAAAAAUAUUAUGAAUAACUAAUUCAAAAUA
RNAcentral lists this unclassified non-coding RNA (134 nucleotides) under uncultured Mortierella. RNAcentral describes it as "sequence contains ITS1". The record is from RNAcentral. Lineage: Eukaryota; Fungi; Mortierellomycota; Mortierellomycetes; Mortierellales; Mortierellaceae.